AACUGGCACGGACUUGGGGAAUCCGACUGUCUAAUCUCAAUUCAAAGCAUUGUGAUGGCCCUAGCGGGUGUUGACACAAUGUGAUUUCUGCCCAGAGCUCUGAAUGUCAAAGUGAAGAAAUUCAAGUAAGCGCGGGUUGACAGACCUAGUAUCUUUCGAUAGAUUUCCAUACCUCCGCGAUCAAAAAAAAAAAUAGCCAAAUGCCUCGUCAUCUAAUUAGUGACGCGCAUGAAUGGAUUAACGAC
Molecule: non-coding RNA, 245 nt
Filed under: Drosophila sechellia
Lineage: Eukaryota; Metazoa; Arthropoda; Insecta; Diptera; Drosophilidae
Description: Eukaryotic large subunit ribosomal RNA
Rfam family: Eukaryotic large subunit ribosomal RNA
Source: Rfam by way of RNAcentral